Molecule: ribosomal RNA, 490 nt
Filed under: uncultured bacterium
Lineage: Bacteria
Description: partial 16S ribosomal RNA
Rfam family: Bacterial small subunit ribosomal RNA
Source: RNAcentral
AUUGAACGCUGGCGGCAUGCUUUACACAUGCAAGUCGGACGGCAGCACAGAGAAGCUUGCUUCUUGGGUGGCGAGUGGCGAACGGGUGAGUAAUAUAUCGGAACGUACCGAGUAAUGGGGGAUAACUAAUCGAAAGAUUAGCUAAUACCGCAUAUUCUCUGAGGAGGAAAGCAGGGGACCUUCGGGCCUUGCGUUAUUCGAGCGGCCGAUAUCUGAUUAGCUAGUUGGUGGGGUGAAGGCCUACCAAGGCGACGAUCAGUAGCGGGUCUGAGAGGAUGAUCCGCCACACUGGGACUGAGACACGGCCCAGACUCCUACGGGAGGCAGCAGUGGGGAAUUUUGGACAAUGGGCGCAAGCCUGAUCCAGCCAUGCCGCGUGUCUGAAGAAGGCCUUCGGGUUGUAAAGGACUUUUGUCAGGGAAGAAAAGGCUGUUGCUAAUACCGACAGCUGAUGACGGUACCUGAAGAAUAAGCACCGGCUAACUACGUG